CGGCGGACGGGUGAGUAAUGUCUGGGAAACUGCCCGAUGGAGGGGGAUAACUACUGGAAACGGUAGCUAAUACCGCAUAAUGUCUACGGACCAAAAGCGGGGGGACCUCCGGGCCUCGCGCCAUCAGAUGAACCCAUAUGGGAUUAGCUAGUAGGUAAGGUAACGGCUUACCUAGGCGACGAUCCCUAGCUGGUCUGAGAGGAUGACCAGCCACACUGGAACUGAGACACGGUCCAG
RNAcentral lists this ribosomal RNA (237 nucleotides) under uncultured bacterium. RNAcentral's name for it is "partial 16S ribosomal RNA". It matches the Rfam family "Bacterial small subunit ribosomal RNA", at positions 96 to 334 of the family's 1533-position model. The record is from RNAcentral.